This 240-nucleotide ribosomal RNA is filed under the name Helicobacter pylori. Its description in RNAcentral is "partial 16S ribosomal RNA". It matches the Rfam family "Bacterial small subunit ribosomal RNA", at positions 1287 to 1531 of the family's 1533-position model. The record is from RNAcentral. Lineage: Bacteria; Pseudomonadati; Campylobacterota; Epsilonproteobacteria; Campylobacterales; Helicobacteraceae.
CUCAGUUCGGAUUGUAGGCUGCAACUCGCCUGCAUGAAGCUGGAAUCGCUAGUAAUCGCAAAUCAGCCAUGUUGCGGUGAAUACGUUCCCGGGUCUUGUACUCACCGCCCGUCACACCAUGGGAGUUGUGUUUGCCUUAAGUCAGGAUGCUAAAUUAGCUACUGCCCACGGCACACACAGCGACUGGGGUGAAGUCGUAACAAGGUAACCGUAGGUGAACCUGCGGUUGGAUCACCUCCU